Molecule: ribosomal RNA, 1480 nt
Filed under: metagenome
Description: bacterial SSU rRNA
Rfam family: Bacterial small subunit ribosomal RNA
Source: RNAcentral
AGAGUUUCAUCCUGGCUCAGGAUGAACGCUAGCGGCAGGCUUAACACAUGCAAGUCGAGGGGUAACAGGGAAAGCUUGCUUUUCGCUGACGACCGGCGCACGGGUGCGUAACGCGUAUGCAACCUACCUCUAACAGGAAGAUAGCUCUCGGAAACGGGAAUUAAUACUCCAUAAUAUUGCAGAUUCGCCUGUUUUUGCAAUUAAAGCUCCGGCGGUUAGAGAUGGGCAUGCGUCCUAUUAGCUUGUUGGUGAGGUAACGGCUCACCAAGGCGACGAUAGGUAGGGGGCCUGAGAGGGUGACCCCCCACACUGGUACUGAGACACGGACCAGACUCCUACGGGAGGCAGCAGUGAGGAAUAUUGGUCAAUGGAGGAAACUCUGAACCAGCCAUGCCGCGUGCAGGAUGACGGCCCUACGGGUUGUAAACUGCUUUUAUAUGGGAAGAAACUCCGAUACGUGUAUCGGCUUGACGGUACCAUACGAAUAAGGAUCGGCUAACUCCGUGCCAGCAGCCGCGGUAAUACGGAGGAUCCAAGCGUUAUCCGGAUUCAUUGGGUUUAAAGGGUGCGUAGGCGGAUUAGUAAGUUAGUGGUGAAAGACUGUGGCUCAACCAUAGAACUGCCAUUAAUACUGCUAGUCUUGAGUACAUUUGAAGUGGGCGGAAUACGACAUGUAGCGGUGAAAUGCAUAGAUAUGUCGUAGAACACCGAUUGCGAAGGCAGCUCACUAAACUGUAACUGACGCUGAGGCACGAAAGCGUGGGGAGCGAACAGGAUUAGAUACCCUGGUAGUCCACGCCGUAAACGAUGAUCACUCGCUGUUGGCGAUACACUGUCAGCGGCCAAGCGAAAGUAUUAAGUGAUCCACCUGGGGAGUACGCCGGCAACGGUGAAACUCAAAGGAAUUGACGGGGGCCCGCACAAGCGGUGGAGCAUGUGGUUUAAUUCGAUGAUACGCGAGGAACCUUACCAGGGCUUAAAUGUAGAUUGACAGAUUGGGAAACCAGUCCUUCUUCGGACAAUUUACAAGGUGCUGCAUGGUUGUCGUCAGCUCGUGCCGUGAGGUGUCGGGUUAAGUCCCAUAACGAGCGCAACCCCUAUCUUUAGUUGCCAGCGGUUCGGCCGGGGACUCUAAAGAAACUGCCAGCGCAAGCUGUGAGGAAGGUGGGGAUGACGUCAAAUCAUCACGGCCCUUACGUCCUGGGCUACACACGUGCUACAAUGGUAAAUACAAAGGGCAGCCACCCCGUGAGGGGGAGCGAAUCCUUAAAGUUUAUCUCAGUUCGGAUCGAAGUCUGCAACUCGACUUCGUGAAGCUGGAAUCGCUAGUAAUCGCGCAUCAGCCAUGGCGCGGUGAAUACGUUCCCGGGCCUUGUACACACCGCCCGUCAAGCCAUGGAAGCUGGGGGUACCUGAAGUCGGUAACCGUAAGGAGCUGCCUAGGGUAAAACUAGUAACUGGGGCUAAGUCGUAAAAGGUA